This 465-nucleotide ribosomal RNA is filed under the name uncultured bacterium. Its description in RNAcentral is "partial 16S ribosomal RNA". It matches the Rfam family "Bacterial small subunit ribosomal RNA", at positions 338 to 795 of the family's 1533-position model. The record is from RNAcentral.
CCUACGGGAGGCAGCAGUGGGGAAUAUUGCGCAAUGGGCGAAAGCCUGACGCAGCGACGCCGCGUGAGGGAUGAAGGUCUUCGGAUCGUAAACCUCUGUCAGCAGGGAAGAACGGUCACUGUGCUAAUCAGCAGUGAAUUGACGGUACCUGCAAAGGAAGCACCGGCUAACUCCGUGCCAGCAGCCGCGGUAAUACGGAGGGUGCGAGCGUUAAUCGGAAUUACUGGGCGUAAAGCGCACGUAGGCGGUAUGUCAAGUCAAGGGUGAAAUCCCCGCGCUCAACGUGGGAACUGCAUUUGAAACUGGCAGACUGGAGUGUGUGAGAGGGUAGUAGAAUUCCAGGUGUAGGGGUGAAAUCCGUAGAUAUCUGGAGGAACAUCAGUGGCGAAGGCGACUAUCUGGCACAUGACUGACGCUGAGGAGCGAAAGCGUGGGUAGCAAACAGGAUUAGAUACCCGAGUAGUC